Molecule: ribosomal RNA, 450 nt
Filed under: uncultured bacterium
Lineage: Bacteria
Description: bacterial SSU rRNA
Rfam family: Bacterial small subunit ribosomal RNA
Source: RNAcentral
AGAGUUUGAUCCUGGCUCAGGACGAACGCUGGCGGCGUGCUUAACACAUGCAAGUCGAGCGAUGAAGUUCCUUCGGGAAUGGAUUAGCGGCGGACGGGUGAGUAACACGUGGGUAACCUGCCUCAUAGAGGGGAAUAGCCUUUCGAAAGGAAGAUUAAUACCGCAUAAGAUUGUAGUGCCGCAUGGCAUAGCAAUUAAAGGAGUAAUCCGCUAUGAGAUGGACCCGCGUCGCAUUAGCUAGUUGGUGAGGUAACGGCUCACCAAGGCGACGAUGCGUAGCCGACCUGAGAGGGUGAUCGGCCACAUUGGGACUGAGACACGGCCCAGACUCCUACGGGAGGCAGCAGUGGGGAAUAUUGCACAAUGGGGGAAACCCUGAUGCAGCAACGCCGCGUGAGUGAUGACGGUCUUCGGAUUGUAAAGCUCUGUCUUCAGGGAUGAUAAUGACGU